RNAcentral lists this non-coding RNA (137 nucleotides) under Kutzneria buriramensis. Lineage: Bacteria; Bacillati; Actinomycetota; Actinomycetes; Pseudonocardiales; Pseudonocardiaceae. The record is from RNAcentral.
GUAAGCCGUGUGCGGGAGAACCGCAUGCACGGAUUGACGGGCGGGAGUUGGAAACGGAGCGGACUGGUCAGGGAUACGGAGAAGAACGAUCCGGCGGGAAACCGUUGGGUAUCAAUGGCUUCGUGACCUACCGCCAG